This 2923-nucleotide ribosomal RNA is filed under the name Klebsiella pneumoniae. Its description in RNAcentral is "23S ribosomal RNA". It matches the Rfam family "Bacterial large subunit ribosomal RNA". Lineage: Bacteria; Pseudomonadati; Pseudomonadota; Gammaproteobacteria; Enterobacterales; Enterobacteriaceae. The record is from RNAcentral.
GGGUUGUGAGGUUAAGCGACUAAGCGUACACGGUGGAUGCCCUGGCAGUCAGAGGCGAUGAAGGACGUGCUAAUCUGCGAAAAGCGUCGGUAAGGUGAUAUGAACCGUUAUAACCGGCGAUGUCCGAAUGGGGAAACCCAGUGCAAUUCGUUGCACUAUCGUUAACUGAAUACAUAGGUUAACGAGGCGAACCGGGGGAACUGAAACAUCUAAGUACCCCGAGGAAAAGAAAUCAACCGAGAUUCCCCCAGUAGCGGCGAGCGAACGGGGAGCAGCCCAGAGUCUGAAUCAGCUUGUGUGUUAGUGGAACGGUCUGGAAAGUCCGACGGUACAGGGUGAUAGUCCCGUACACCAAAAUGCACAGGCUGUGAACUCGAAGAGUAGGGCGGGACACGUGGUAUCCUGUCUGAAUAUGGGGGGACCAUCCUCCAAGGCUAAAUACUCCUGACUGACCGAUAGUGAACCAGUACCGUGAGGGAAAGGCGAAAAGAACCCCGGCGAGGGGAGUGAAAAAGAACCUGAAACCGUGUACGUACAAGCAGUGGGAGCACCUUCGGGUGUGACUGCGUACCUUUUGUAUAAUGGGUCAGCGACUUAUAUUCUGUAGCAAGGUUAACCGUAUAGGGGAGCCGCAGGGAAACCGAGUCUUAACUGGGCGUUAAGUUGCAGGGUAUAGACCCGAAACCCGGUGAUCUAGCCAUGGGCAGGUUGAAGGUUGGGUAACACUAACUGGAGGACCGAACCGACUAAUGUUGAAAAAUUAGCGGAUGACUUGUGGCUGGGGGUGAAAGGCCAAUCAAACCGGGAGAUAGCUGGUUCUCCCCGAAAGCUAUUUAGGUAGCGCCUCGUGAAUUCAUCUUCGGGGGUAGAGCACUGUUUCGGCUAGGGGGUCAUCCCGACUUACCAACCCGAUGCAAACUACGAAUACCGAAGAAUGUUAUCACGGGAGACACACGGCGGGUGCUAACGUCCGUCGUGAAGAGGGAAACAACCCAGACCGCCAGCUAAGGUCCCAAAGUCAUGGUUAAGUGGGAAACGAUGUGGGAAGGCACAGACAGCCAGGAUGUUGGCUUAGAAGCAGCCAUCAUUUAAAGAAAGCGUAAUAGCUCACUGGUCGAGUCGGCCUGCGCGGAAGAUGUAACGGGGCUAAACCAUGCACCGAAGCUGCGGCAGCGACACUAUGUGUUGUUGGGUAGGGGAGCGUUCUGUAAGCCUGCGAAGGUGACCUGUGAGGGUUGCUGGAGGUAUCAGAAGUGCGAAUGCUGACAUAAGUAACGAUAAAGCGGGUGAAAAGCCCGCUCGCCGGAAGACCAAGGGUUCCUGUCCAACGUUAAUCGGGGCAGGGUGAGUCGACCCCUAAGGCGAGGCCGAAAGGCGUAGUCGAUGGGAAACAGGUUAAUAUUCCUGUACUUGGUGUUACUGCGAAGGGGGGACGGAGAAGGCUAUGUUAGCCGGGCGACGGUUGUCCCGGUUUAAGCAUGUAGGCUGGUUGUCCAGGCAAAUCCGGAUAAUCAAGGCUGAGGUGUGAUGACGAGGCACUACGGUGCUGAAGUAACAAAUGCCCUGCUUCCAGGAAAAGCCUCUAAGCAUCAGGUAACAUUAAAUCGUACCCCAAACCGACACAGGUGGUCAGGUAGAGAAUACCAAGGCGCUUGAGAGAACUCGGGUGAAGGAACUAGGCAAAAUGGUGCCGUAACUUCGGGAGAAGGCACGCUGGUGUGUAGGUGAAGCCCCUGCGGGUGGAGCUGAGACCAGUCGAAGAUACCAGCUGGCUGCAACUGUUUAUUAAAAACACAGCACUGUGCAAACACGAAAGUGGACGUAUACGGUGUGACGCCUGCCCGGUGCCGGAAGGUUAAUUGAUGGGGUUAUCCGUAAGGAGAAGCUCUUGAUCGAAGCCCCGGUAAACGGCGGCCGUAACUAUAACGGUCCUAAGGUAGCGAAAUUCCUUGUCGGGUAAGUUCCGACCUGCACGAAUGGCGUAAUGAUGGCCAGGCUGUCUCCACCCGAGACUCAGUGAAAUUGAACUCGCUGUGAAGAUGCAGUGUACCCGCGGCAAGACGGAAAGACCCCGUGAACCUUUACUAUAGCUUGACACUGAACAUUGAGCCUUGAUGUGUAGGAUAGGUGGGAGGCUUUGAAGCGUGGACGCCAGUCUGCGUGGAGCCAACCUUGAAAUACCACCCUUUAAUGUUUGAUGUUCUAACGUUGGCCCCUUACCGGGGUUGCGGACAGUGUCUGGUGGGUAGUUUGACUGGGGCGGUCUCCUCCCAAAGCGUAACGGAGGAGCACGAAGGUUAGCUAAUCCUGGUCGGACAUCAGGAGGUUAGUGCAAUGGCAUAAGCUAGCUUGACUGCGAGCGUGACGGCGCGAGCAGGUGCGAAAGCAGGUCAUAGUGAUCCGGUGGUUCUGAAUGGAAGGGCCAUCGCUCAACGGAUAAAAGGUACUCCGGGGAUAACAGGCUGAUACCGCCCAAGAGUUCAUAUCGACGGCGGUGUUUGGCACCUCGAUGUCGGCUCAUCACAUCCUGGGGCUGAAGUAGGUCCCAAGGGUAUGGCUGUUCGCCAUUUAAAGUGGUACGCGAGCUGGGUUUAGAACGUCGUGAGACAGUUCGGUCCCUAUCUGCCGUGGGCGCUGGAGAAUUGAGGGGGGCUGCUCCUAGUACGAGAGGACCGGAGUGGACGCAUCACUGGUGUUCGGGUUGUCAUGCCAAUGGCACUGCCCGGUAGCUAAAUGCGGAAGAGAUAAGUGCUGAAAGCAUCUAAGCACGAAACUUGCCCCGAGAUGAGUUCUCCCUGAGACUUUAAGUCUCCUGAAGGAACGUUAAAGACGAUGACGUUGAUAGGCCGGGUGUGUAAGCGCAGCGAUGCGUUGAGCUAACCGGUACUAAUGAACCGUGAGGCUUAACCUUACAACGCCGAAG